CAAUAUGUGGCCUAGUUGUUUGAGUGGUGGACUACAACUCCAGAGACCAGGAUUCGAUUCCCAGCUCAGCCA
This is a non-coding RNA of Phrynosoma platyrhinos (Desert horned lizard), 72 nucleotides long. The record is from the annotation of a GenBank genome assembly. Lineage: Eukaryota; Metazoa; Chordata; Lepidosauria; Squamata; Phrynosomatidae.